UGGCCUACGGGGGGCAGCAGUGGGGAAUAUUGCACAAUGGGGGAAACCCUGAUGCAGCGACGCCGCGUGAGUGAAGAAGUAUUUCGGUACGUAAAGCUCUAUCAGCAGGGAAGAAAAUGACGGUACCUGACCAAGAAGCCCGGGCUAACUACGUGCCAGCAGCCGCGGUAAUACGUAGGGGGCAAGCGUUAUCCGGAUUUACUGGGUGUAAAGGGAGCGUAGACGGCAGCGCAAGUCUGGAGUGAAAUGCCGGGGCCCAACCCCGGAACUGCUUUGUAAACUGUGCAGCUG
Molecule: ribosomal RNA, 291 nt
Filed under: uncultured bacterium
Lineage: Bacteria
Description: partial 16S ribosomal RNA
Rfam family: Bacterial small subunit ribosomal RNA
Source: RNAcentral